GCCAGGUGUGGUGGCGGGCACCUGUAAUCCAAGCUACUCAGGAGGCUGAGAUGGGAGAAUUGCUUGAACCCAGAAGGUGGAGGUUUCAGUGAGCCGAGAUCUUGCCACUGUACUCCAGCCUGGGUGACAGAGCAAGACUCCAUCUCAA
This 148-nucleotide small RNA is filed under the name Papio anubis (olive baboon). RNAcentral describes it as "Metazoan signal recognition particle RNA (ENSPANG00000041056.1)". The record is from Rfam by way of RNAcentral. Lineage: Eukaryota; Metazoa; Chordata; Mammalia; Primates; Cercopithecidae.